GUAGGGGGCUAGCGUUGUCCGGAUUUAUUGGGCGUAAAGAGCGUGUAGGCGGCCAGGUAGGUCUGCUGUGAAAACUCGAGGCUUAACCUCGAGAUGUCGGCGGAAACCAUCUGGCUAGAGUCCGGAAGAGGAGAGUGGAAUUCCUGGUGUAGCGGUGAAAUGCGCAGAUAUCAGGAAGAACACCCGUGGCGAAGGCGGCUCUCUGGGACGGUACUGACGCUGAGACGCGAAAGCGUGGGGAGCGAACAGGAUUAGAUACCCUGGUAGUCCACGCCGUAAACGAUGGGUGCUAGGUGUGGGCGGUGUCGACUCCGUCCGUGCCGAAGCUAACGCAUUAAGCACCCCGCCUGGGGAGUACGGCCGCAAGGCUAAA
Molecule: ribosomal RNA, 373 nt
Filed under: uncultured bacterium
Lineage: Bacteria
Description: bacterial SSU rRNA
Rfam family: Bacterial small subunit ribosomal RNA
Source: RNAcentral